UUUGGGUUGUAAACCUCUUUUGUGAGGGAAGAUAAUGACGGUACCCUACGAAUAAGGUCCGGCUAACUUCGUGCCCGCCGCCGCGGUAAUAUAAU
This 95-nucleotide ribosomal RNA is filed under the name uncultured bacterium. Its description in RNAcentral is "partial 16S ribosomal RNA". The record is from RNAcentral.